CCGUCUCUCAGGUUCUGGACGGCCCUCGGAAUGCCAGAACCUAUUCACGCCAGCGGAAGCUGGCGUCUUUUUGU
Non-coding RNA from Burkholderia sp., 74 nucleotides. The record is from Rfam. Lineage: Bacteria; Pseudomonadati; Pseudomonadota; Betaproteobacteria; Burkholderiales; Burkholderiaceae.